UUUUCGUCAUUUUACUAUUCAUCAUCUCCAUCCUCUUCUUCUCCUCCACCGAAACCAUCACCAGCACCUCUCUUGACCCGAAUUCAAAGCUUUAAUACCAUUUCUCCCCACCUUUUCAAAGAUGCUUUUUCAGUUUCCAUACAACACUAAAAAUCACCAUGACCCAGAAACUAAACCACAAUGCUCUCUCUGUCCAGAACAAGCAGAGAGAAAUUCUGAAAAACUUGAAGCAAAUUUUUUUUUUUUUUUUUCACAAAAACACAAUUAUCAUCAUUGGGGAUCAAUUCGCCAUUCCCCAUCAACAAUGAAUUUGAUCUCAUAUCUACCCGGAUACAACUUAAGGCUAACAGAGAAGAUUCCUGUACUCGACCUCUCCAUCUUUCUCUGGGUAGCCCAACCAUCAUAUGAUCCUGCUAAAAGCACUUCUGAGGCUGGAUUGGUCCAAACUAUUAAAGCAGUUCGAAGAAGCUGUAAGGCUCUACAGAGAAACGCGGAUCUUGGCGCCGACGUCACCCAAGACCCGGAGCUCGACCCGGUCGUUGAGGGAGGCAUCGCAGAUUAAAUAGGCGGCGUCGGCCUGAAUGAGAUUGGCGCGAUCGACGGCGAUGGUGGCGACGACCUGCCUGACGCUGUGGGCCUGCUGGAAGAAGCCGGGGACGGAGGCCUUGCCCAAAGGGAUGCCGCGGUACAUGACAGUGAACCUGGACUUGCCGUACUUGAUUCCGACCUUGUUGGGGUUCUCGGUGGAGAAGAGCAGGCGAAUGUUGAGGGAGAGAGAGGCGGAGGAGGCCGGGUUCGGGUCGGUGGUGGGAUUGGAAGCUUGUUUUUCCUGAUGUGCAAGAGAGGUGCUGGUGAUGGUUUCAGUGGAGGAGAAGAAGAGGAUGGAGAUGAUGAAUAGUAAAAUGACGAAAAUAUCCUUCAAAAGUUAACUCUGUUAACGAUUUUACUGUUGCUAGGUACGGAAAUUGGGUCGGAUUCAGACACUCAGGUACCAUUUUGAUAUUUUUUGAAGUAUAGGUAUGAAAAUUAAUAGUCUGAAAAAGUUCAGACACCGUUUGGACGAUUUUCCCUAGAAUUUAUGGAUUUUGAUGGAGUCUUUUUGUUGGCCCAAGACCAAAAGAAUGAAAAAAAAAAAAAAAAAAGGAAAUCGAGACAAGAGGUGGAAAGUGAGAGCACUCAGAGCAGAGAGUGUAGUGUACCCAGUAAAGCUGGCACCGAGCUCCCAAGCAAAACUUCCCAAUUCGAUCCUAGCAAUGGCCAAAUCGAAAUCCCUUUCGGUUUCAGAUGAGGCAAACGAUACCCGUGAAGGUCCUUAUCCAUGCAAACCAUAUCGCUUUGUGUAUCUUGGCAAGUCCCCACUUCCGCUUCGAUAGCCAAUUUUAUCAGCUUUCCAUCGACAAUCGAUUUGUGUAACUUGGAAAGUCUCAUUUUGAAUCUCAAAAGUUGCAACAGUGCCAGAUGAAUGCUUUUAAGAGCCAAUUUUAUCAGCUUCCUGUCGACAAUCGAUUUCAUUUUGUUCUAUUCAAUGUGUUUGCUCAAAGCUAGCCUAACGAGUUCCAGUUCCAAGAUUUGGUAUUUUGUGGUAAUAGACUUUGAGGCUGCAUGUGAUAAGGAUAGAAAUCCGGAUCCUCAAGAGAUAAUUGAGUUUCCAUAUGUGAUUGUGAGUUGACUGGCCAACUGGAACCAUGUUUCCAGACUUAUGUGCGGCCAACCUGCAAUCAUCUACUGAGUGAUUUCUAUAAGGAUCUGACAGGCAUACAGCAAAUUCAGGAGGAUCAUGUAAAGCGUGUAGAGAAUCUUGUGAAACAACUUGCACCACCAAUUUUUAAGGUUCACUACACUAAAGAACAAGAUAGUUUUGCAAUUUCAUAUGAAUGUGGCAAAAACCAAAGCAGCAACUAUCAAGAAGCAAUGCAGCAAUUAUCAAGUAAAAAUGUGAUGUGUUCAAAUAAAAAAAGACUGCUGCAUCUUUAAAUAUUGCAUAAGAAAAUCAUCGAACAAUUUAUGAAGGCCAAAAAUGUUAAGUUCUGAAAGUUUCUCCUACGAGACACAUGUUACCAGAUUUUUGUGAUAAUUGAAUAGAAUAACAUAAUUCAGGAACAAGAACAGUACGAGGGAGAUCAUAAUAGAAUAGAGAAUAGGAAAGUUAAAUCUUAUUCAACUAUUUACUUCUAGAAAUUCUCUGUAACAUGGUUGUAAUAUGUGAGAUUGUGUUUCUUUCAGUAGAAAAGUUUAAACUUCAAAUCUCUCAAAACUCGUGUUGCAGGCUUUGGUUUUGAGACAUGGUUCUUUAUAUGUAUUGCUCCCAAGGGAUUAGAUCAUGAGACAUGGUCCUGUAAUACACAAUGCAAACUGUGGCUUGUUUCUAUGA
Rosa rugosa (rugosa rose) is the source of this 2371-nucleotide long non-coding RNA. RefSeq lists it as uncharacterized. NCBI's taxonomy places the organism in Eukaryota, Viridiplantae, Streptophyta, Magnoliopsida, Rosales, Rosaceae. The transcript has 4 exons. The record is from RefSeq and is a predicted model, not a curated record.